This is a long non-coding RNA of Cephus cinctus (wheat stem sawfly), 2316 nucleotides long. RefSeq lists it as uncharacterized. The record is from RefSeq and is a predicted model, not a curated record. The transcript has 11 exons. NCBI's taxonomy places the organism in Eukaryota, Metazoa, Arthropoda, Insecta, Hymenoptera, Cephidae.
UGGUCCGCGUAAAAUACAGUGUCGUCGCGACGCCUAGCGUCAGGAAAACGGAAACAGCUUGUCGACUCGUUUGGCAAUGACUGAUGGACUGUUCUGUGGCCAAUCAAAAGCAGGCGCAGUCUUGACAGUUGAUUAUGGGUGUAGACGUGAAAGAAGCAAAAAAGAAAAGGUGAAUGAACGACGAGACAGGAUACCUCCGGCAACACGGAAGAUUAAAGUGUCAGCAUCACUCGGGGAAGCCAGAUGAAUUUUUCACGGUGCAAUAAGUCCCGCAUCGUCUGCAGAGGCCACAAAUGAAACGGCGAGAAACACGACUGGCUUUUUCUGACUUUUGCCAGGUUCUUACACAGCAAGCUAGAUACAUACGUAGAAAGACUCGCCAUAUAAAUAAAUUCAAACUACUAGUUCCAAGGCGACAUCAGUUGAACAUGAUAGCUACUCCAUAUUGGAGUCGAUACCACGUCCAUGAUACUAGUUGACACUGAUUCGCAAAUUUACUGAUAAUUAGAAAACUCGAUAAAAAAAUCAGAUUUGAUAAAAGGUCAAAUUCCCACUGGAUAUACUAUACCGAAUAUAUCGUGGAUCAUAGGUUACUCCUGAUUCGGCGAAAGCUCCUUUUGGAUACUGUCAAGGAAUAAUGACUCUCGGGGUAUAAUUAAUCAAAGCAAUUACCUCGAUAUUUUCGGGCAAAAUUAAUUCCUAACGAAAUACCCAGUUCACCUUUGACCCUGAAAAAUAAUCGUUGGACGAAAAUGACGAAGCUGUGAAACACAAUUCAUUAAAAAAAUAUCGCAUGUCGUAUAAAUUUUGAUUCUCGUUAGGGCAUGACCUUAAUGCCCGUAAAAUACUUUUGUGCCUUUCAUUAAUCAUCUGGUUAAUUUGUUACAUGAUAACAGAACGUUACUACCUAUGGAUAAAACUGAUGGAGAACCAGAACCCUAUACGUAUUCAUUGUAUACAAUUUAACCACUGUAAGGAUUAAAGACCGGACAUAAUAAAAGAAGGGAAAUUACCAGCGGAAUUUGAUAAGGAAACGCUUCGAAGGAUAUUCUUGUUAUGAAUGAAAAUCAUUGACGUUUCAAGUAGAGAACUUUUUACAACAACAAGGCUUUGUAAAGCUCUACCACGGUGAACCGUGGUAACGCUUGAAGUGAAGCGAUGCCAGUGUUAAAUGAAGUAAUGUCGAGUUGAACUUUAACGAGGUAUCCGAAAAGUCAAAACUCACGGGGAACGAGUUUCAAGUAAAAACAGAUUUGACUGGGACCUAUCGAAUCGAGAUUUUAUAUCGAUAAUUGGUGAAAACGGAAUUACGGCAGCUGAUAUAAAUACAUAAAGACCUGAAGUAAUUAUUAAACAACAUGGAAGACGAUUGGCGAACCUGACUACGUGAUUUGAAGUUCUAAUGUCCGUUGCGCAUUUAAUUACUGGCAGUGAGUGUUGCCUGGCUACAUCGGCGCACGUUUGUAAUUAUUGACAGGAAAUUAAAGCAUAUUACACCGCUGGCUGCUACGUUACGGGUCACAUCGGAACGGCUCGUAUGUGGAAUCCAUUUCCAUUGGUUACUUAUCCGACGAUUGAUACGAAAGGGAAGAAAAAAUUAAUGAAAACAAGUACACCCAGAGAGCGUAGAUUAAGGACAGAUUGAAUUUUCCUCUUUUUACGAGUUUCCCAGGUAAUUACCAGCACUCUACAUAUAUAUAUACAUCACGGGGCAUAUCGGCCUACAUAAAAGAAAACGACUAAUUUUCAAAACUGACGUCAUGAAUAUACGGGACAACGAAGCUCGCGCAAUUUGUUACAUACUGGACAACGUUAAUGUGUGGUUUCACGAAUUUAGGACGAAUCGAUAGGCGAACGAGUGUACGCUCGGCAAAUGAUAUUUAAUUAACGCCCUAUUACGAGAAUUUUGGACAUGCUGCGCACGGUGAUUCAAGAAAACCUUCAUUUUCUCCUAUCGCCAACGGAUACGGCUGCUGCUCUAUUUGCCAGUAUCUUUUGAGGGCGAACCAUCCCCCUACCAAACUACCACCUUCAGCCCCAGCAGCAUCAAACCACCAGCUCUAUCUUCUCACUCAGUGACUCGCCCUGCUCCGCCUCCUGCAGGAUGGGAUCCGAAGAUACACGUGGAUGGCUUCACUCGGAUGGUCAAGUUUACCCAAGCGUAGGCGUUUGUUCCUGUGGAUGAUAUAUAGGAGCCCUGCUGUUUACAUCGGAUAUUUUGAAGCCAACGAAAUUCAUUGUGCCUUUUAACAAGUGAGGGGUUGUUACGAAUGGAAGAAAGUCGGUAUUACACGAGGAUAUAAGAUUUAUGAUAAA